AUACGGAGGGUGCAAGCGUUAAUCGGUAUUACUGGGCGUAAAGCGUACGUAGGCGGUUUGCUAAGUCAGAUGUGAAAGCCCCGGGCUUAACCUGGGAACUGCAUUUGAUACUGGCAGACUAGAGUAUGAUAGAGGGGGGUAGAAUUCCUGGUGUAGCGGUGAGAUGCGUAGAUAUCAGGAGGAAUACCAGUGGCGAAGGCGGCCCCCUGGAUCAAUACUGACGCUGAGGUACGAAAGCGUGGGGAGCGAACAGGAUUAGAUACCCUAGUAGUCC
This 274-nucleotide ribosomal RNA is filed under the name uncultured bacterium. RNAcentral describes it as "partial 16S ribosomal RNA". It matches the Rfam family "Bacterial small subunit ribosomal RNA", at positions 523 to 796 of the family's 1533-position model. The record is from RNAcentral.